This 21-nucleotide non-coding RNA is filed under the name Caenorhabditis elegans. The record is from RNAcentral. Lineage: Eukaryota; Metazoa; Nematoda; Chromadorea; Rhabditida; Rhabditidae.
UACACACUGUUCUUACUGAAA